AUGGCCAUGGUGCCCAACGGGCUCCUGCCCAAUGCGUCGGCGGGGGUGACGCGGCGCCUCGACCCCGACCGCUGGGCCGUCGCCGAGUCCCGGACCGCCGAGCUGAUCGCGCGCAUCCAGCCCAACGCCUACUCCGAGGGCCGGAGGCAUGCUGUCUACAACUACGUGCAGCGCCUCAUCAUGAACUGCCUCUCCUGCCAGGUUUUUACUUUUGGAUCAGUCCCUCUGAAGACUUACUUACCGGAUGGUGACAUUGAUGUCACCGCUUUCAGUAAUAGCGAAGAAUUAAAGGAUACCUGGGCAAAUCUAGUUAGGGAUGCUUUGGAGCGUGAAGAGAAAAGUGAAAAUGCUGAAUUUUGUGUAAAAGAAGUUCAGUAUAUUCAGGCGGAGGUAAAGCUUAUCAAGUGUCUUGUGGACAACAUUGUUGUUGAUAUCUCAUUUAACCAAGUUGGUGGAUUGUGUACACUUUGUUUCCUUGAACAGGUUGAUAACUUGAUCAAUCAAAACCAUUUAUUCAAGCGGAGUAUCAUAUUGGUAAAGGCAUGGUGUUUCUACGAGAGUCGUAUUCUUGGAGCUCACCAUGGUCUUAUAUCUACUUAUGCAUUGGAGACCCUUGUUCUGUACAUAUUUCAUGUGUUCAACAACUGUUUUACUGGACCACUUGAGGUGUUAUACCGUUUCUUAGAAUUCUUUAGCAACUUUGAUUGGGAGAAAUUUUGUUUGAGUUUGUGGGGGCCAGUUCCUAUAAGUUCACUUCCAGAUAUGACUGCGGAACCCCCGCGGAUGGACACUGGUGAAUUGUUGCUGACCAAGGCCUUCCUGGAUAGAUGCAAUCAUCUGUAUGGAGUUAUGCCUCGCACCCAGGAGAACCAGGGUCAACCAUUUGUUUCAAAGCACUUCAAUGUUAUUGAUCCCUUACGAGCAAAUAACAACCUUGGAAGAAGUGUCAGUAAAGGCAAUUACUUUAGAAUACGCAGUGCCUUCUCUUUUGGGGCAAAAAGGCUGGCAAAGUUACUCGAAUGCCCAAAUGAAGAUCUGAUUGCUGAAGUAAAUCAGUUCUUUACAAAUACAUUGACAAGACAUGGGAGUGGGAAUCGUCCCGACGCGCCUACACCAAAUCUGUUUCCUAAACAUGCUCUGAAGGUUGUCCCUGCUGAAGCAUCAAACAGCCACGAGAAUGCAACAAUGCCCAAGAAGAAGAUGGAAAAACCUAAACUUCGAGCUAAUCAGGGCAGUCUCACUGAAGGUUCUCACAGCUAUGCUGAACCUAUUUCUCAACAACCUCAGAGAAGUGAUCUACGCUCUCGGAAUUCACCAAAGGCAAUUCAUCCUGCUGUUUCUCAUGCACAGCACCAAAAAGUUAACGUGACACAACCCAACACCAAGGUCUCUGAACCGCUUGAAAGGAACAGGUCUGGUGGAUCGAUGCCAAGUGAAAGGGAUGGGAGAAUGCCAAAUGCCCUCUUUGUUAAUGGCCGAAAUGGGCAGAACAUGUCUCCGUUUGCAAGAACCCAGUCUAGUCCUGAACUGACAGACCCUUCUAUUGAAGGAUAUUCUCGUGGAAGGCGAACUAGAGUGGUAGAAAUGGAGAAGCCUGUGAACAAUGAUUACAAUAGUAGAAGGAAUAACUUAGUUCCAGAAGUGCCUAGCAACCACAGCACUAAGUCUUCACAGGAUGAGUCAAUGUCUUCCAUGAACAGUUCAUCUCACCCUAGUGCAAAAGCAGCUUCUGAAUCAAAUAGUGUUUCCAGCAGCUAUCAUGAAGACAAUGGUUUCGUGAUUAACGAAGAACUUCCUUCUGUAUCUGAGGCACCGGAGAUGCAGCAUGAGGAACAUGCUCUAGUUAAUCUAAUGGCAUCCGCAAAGUUGCAUGGUUUCAAUGGACAAGCUCAAUUGCCAAUGCAAUUACCUUCUCAUAUGUCUGUAGCAUCUUUGCCCUUACUGCCUCCAACAGCUUUUCCUCAAAAACCUUUUGCCGGGAUUCCACCAACUAGCUUAAUUGGGAGCCAGUGGUUGCACAACAUGCAGUUUCUCCAAGGAUUUGUUCCACCACCUAUGGCCCAUUAUACUUACAACCCUUCGUUUACAACAAACACAGAGGAUGGUAAUGAGAGUGAAAAAAGUACUACAUCAGAUUCGAAUCUUGAUCCUGGCAACACUCAGUAUGAGUAUGGUUUUCGGUUGUCUAGAAAUUUCAACCAUGAAGGAAGGGAUUCACAUGUGCAUCAUUUUGAUGACAACAACCGUUCCUCUUCACCUAAUGGUGUAUCUGGCUCCCCCUUGGACAGGCAGAUGCAAUAUACUGUUGAGGAUAGCAGAGUAGUAGAGGAAAACUAUACUAACAUGUUUCAAAAUCAAACAAGUAGAGAAGUCAGGAGAAAUGCCCCCAUGAGUAGUGGAAAUUUGAGAACUACACAACCCAGUUCUUCCAAAAGCAAACCUCUUUCAGAGAGUUCGUGGGAUGAAAGAGCUGCAAAAACAUCACGAGCUUCGAGGGACAAAUGGGAAAAAAAGCCUGCCUUUCCAGCCCCUGCCACAACCACACUCAGCAUAAGUAAGACUGGUUGGCAGACAGGAAAUAGCAGUGACCAUAUGCCGACAGAAGCUGAUGAAGGCGCCAGGAAUGGUGUUGUAGUGCCAGUUAUUAGACAUGAAGCUUCGGACAUAGUAACAGGGUCUGUCUCGUCAGAUCCAUCAAGAACCAGUCAAGUACGGAAUGAUUUUAAUGCGUCAUGGAUGCCUAAUCCCAUGUUUGCACCUUUUCUUAUUGGUUCCUCUCAGCAGAGGCAAGCUGAUAACUCUGGACUGACUUUUGUCCCAACAGGUCCGCCAGUUCCUUUUGUUGUGCUCCCAUUUGUUCCUGGCAAUAGUGAUGGAUCUGUUCCACAGUUCGAGGGAAAUGACGGAAUUGAUCAGUUUCCUGUCAAUGUUGCUGUUCAAAAUUUUAGUUCACUCAAUGAUGUUCACCAACCUGAUAACAGUGCUACCUCAACGACAUCAUCCAGUACUGUAGGUAAUCCAUCUUACGAUCACAAGCCUGACAUUUUGAACAGUGACAUUGCCAGCCAUUGGCAGAAUUUACAAUAUGGACGAUUCUGCCAAGAUGCACGCCCCAUGGGUCCUGUAUUAUACCCUUUUGCAGUGCCUCCAGGGUACAUGCAGGGGCAUGUUCCAUGGGAUGGGCCUGGAAGACCACCUUCACCGAAUGUCAACUGGACACAGAUGGUGGGUCCUGGCCAAAGAGCCUUUCCUAUGAUGCCUCUACAGCCUGCUUCAGAAAGAGUUACUGCUGUUCCUCCGCACUAUGGAGAGCAUGCACCCAGAUACCGUGGUGGAACAGGAACCUACUUGCCAAAUCCUAAGGUUCCAUUCAGGGACCGAGAGCGUCCCUCGAGUUCAAGAUACUUAAGAGGAGGUUAUAAUAGUGACAAGGGUGACAAUAGUGAUAAAGAAGGAAGUUGGGCAAACUCAAGACAACGAAAUACAGGCCGCAACUAUGGACGUAGCCAGUCAGAGAGGUAUGGCAUGAGGUCUGAUAGGCAGACAACAGAUGAAGGUCAGUUUGACAGGCAGCGCAGAUCCUAUAGAAAUGACUCACACAGGCAUGAGGCAGGUGCUCAAUACCUUGGACAGGGUCAAUCUCAUGGAUCCACAAACUCUGCUCGCAGACCAGGGAAUAUCACCCAUGGGGUUUACUCAUCACCAUAUGCAGUGCCAAAUGGUGUUGGUGCUUCAGAUUCACCAUAUUUUAUGGUUUACCCAUACGAACCAGCUGCAAAUCACGGUUCUUCCUCUGAACCGCUUGAAUUUGGUUCACUGGGGCCAAUCUCUAUGGCAGAUGAUGGUGAUCUACCACAGCCCACUCGCCAAGUAAUGGCCAAUGGCUUUUAUGGGCAAAGACAUACUGCAUUUAGGGUUAGUUCCUCUCAUUCAUCUCCUGAUCAACCAUCCUCACCUCAACCUCGCAGCUGGAAGGAUGCGAUAGCUUGGCUCUGA
This 3996-nucleotide ribosomal RNA is filed under the name Triticum aestivum (bread wheat). Its description in RNAcentral is "partial small subunit ribosomal RNA". The record is from RNAcentral. Lineage: Eukaryota; Viridiplantae; Streptophyta; Magnoliopsida; Poales; Poaceae.